RNAcentral lists this transfer RNA (77 nucleotides) under Rickettsiales bacterium. Its description in RNAcentral is "tRNA-Pro". It matches the Rfam family "tRNA". Rfam says of the family: Transfer RNA (tRNA) molecules are approximately 80 nucleotides in length. Their secondary structure includes four short double-helical elements and three loops (D, anti-codon, and T loops). Further hydrogen bonds mediate the characteristic L-shaped molecular structure. tRNAs have two regions of fundamental functional importance: the anti-codon, which is responsible for specific mRNA codon recognition, and the 3' end, to which the tRNAs corresponding amino acid is attached (by aminoacyl-tRNA synthetases). tRNAs cope with the degeneracy of the genetic code in two manners: having more than one tRNA (with a specific anti-codon) for a particular amino acid; and 'wobble' base-pairing, i.e. permitting non-standard base-pairing at the 3rd anti-codon position. Lineage: Bacteria; Pseudomonadati; Pseudomonadota; Alphaproteobacteria; Rickettsiales. The record is from RNAcentral.
CGGAGCGUAGCGCAGCCUGGUAGCGCAAUUGGUUCGGGACCAAUAGGUCGGAGGUUCGAAUCCUCUCGCUCCGACCA